UGGGGAAUAUUGCACAAUGGGCGCAAGCCUGAUGCAGCCAUGCCGCGUGUAUGAAGAAGGCCUUCGGGUUGUAAAGUACUUUCAGCGGGGAGGAAGGCGAUAAGGUUAAUAACCUUGUCGAUUGACGUUACCCGCAGAAGAAGCACCGGCUAACUCCGUGCCAGCAGCCGCGGUAAUACGGAGGGUGCAAGCGUUAAUCGGAAUUACUGGGCGUAAAGCGCACGCAGGCGGUCUGUCAAGUCGGAUGUGAAAGCCCCGGGCUCAACCUGGGAACUGCAUCCGAAACUGGCAGGCUUGAGUCUCGUAGAGGGGGGUAGAAUUCCAGGUGUAGCGGUGAAAUGCGUAGAGAUCUGGAGGAAUACCGGUGGCGAAGGCGGCCCCCUGGACGAAGACUGACGCUCAGGUGCGAAAGCGUGGGGAGCAAACA
RNAcentral lists this ribosomal RNA (427 nucleotides) under uncultured bacterium. RNAcentral's name for it is "partial 16S ribosomal RNA". It matches the Rfam family "Bacterial small subunit ribosomal RNA", at positions 355 to 774 of the family's 1533-position model. The record is from RNAcentral.